This 405-nucleotide unclassified non-coding RNA is filed under the name soil metagenome. Its description in RNAcentral is "partial contains 5.8S ribosomal RNA, internal transcribed spacer 2, and large subunit ribosomal RNA". The stretch from base 1 to 121 matches the Rfam family "5.8S ribosomal RNA", at positions 35 to 154 of the family's 154-position model. The record is from RNAcentral.
GAUGAAGAACGUAGCGAAAUGCGAUAAGUAAUGUGAAUUGCAGAAUUCAGUGAAUCAUCGAAUCUUUGAACGCACCUUGCGCCCUUUGGCCAUUCCGAAGGGCAUGCCUGUUUGAGUAUCAUGAACACCUCAACUCUUUAUGGUUUUCCAUGAUGAGCUUGGACUCUGGGGGGUUUGCUGGCUCACAGUCGGCUCCUCUAAAAUGAAUCAGCUUACCAGUGUUUUGUGGGUAUCAUGGGUGUGAUAACUAUCUACGCUUGUGGUUUUUCCACCAGGUAACCUUCAGCAGUGGAGGUUCGCUGGAGCUCAUAGAUGUCUCUCCUCAGUGAGGACAGCCCUUUGAAUGUUUGAUCUCAAAUCAGGUAGGACUACCCGCUGAACUUAAGCAUAUCAAUAAGCGGAGGA